GCAGGGCUAGCCAAGCAGGUCAACGGCGCUGGACUCAAGAUCCAGUCCCGUAGGGGUUCAGGAGUUCGAAUCUCCUGCCCUGCACCA
RNAcentral lists this transfer RNA (87 nucleotides) under Candidatus Freyarchaeota archaeon. RNAcentral describes it as "tRNA-Leu". It matches the Rfam family "tRNA". Rfam says of the family: Transfer RNA (tRNA) molecules are approximately 80 nucleotides in length. Their secondary structure includes four short double-helical elements and three loops (D, anti-codon, and T loops). Further hydrogen bonds mediate the characteristic L-shaped molecular structure. tRNAs have two regions of fundamental functional importance: the anti-codon, which is responsible for specific mRNA codon recognition, and the 3' end, to which the tRNAs corresponding amino acid is attached (by aminoacyl-tRNA synthetases). tRNAs cope with the degeneracy of the genetic code in two manners: having more than one tRNA (with a specific anti-codon) for a particular amino acid; and 'wobble' base-pairing, i.e. permitting non-standard base-pairing at the 3rd anti-codon position. Lineage: Archaea; Promethearchaeati; Candidatus Freyarchaeota. The record is from RNAcentral. RNAcentral also lists the same sequence under 2 other names.